CAUCAGGUAAAUUGUAUUCAUCAGAUCAUACGAUUACAGAAUUGAUGUUAAGGAAGUUAAGAAACUUAGUCAAAUUAUAUGAGCUAUUAGACAAUGCCUAGCAUCUGAUUCCAGUUCCUAACAUCUGGUAAAAAUAAGCAUCAAGAAUUUUUAAAAUGGCAUACAAUAGCUAGUAUCAAAGUAUAUGGUGCAUGGUCUUAAUGAAGUUAAAGAACUUACAGGAGGACUUGGAGAAUAUAUUGUGGAUCCUGGAGUGAAAUCAAUGCUCAAUUCUCUCAGUUCUACAUGAUUCUGAAGACCCAUGUUCUUCUGCAGAGACUUACAUUGUCUCACACAUGCUUUCAAAAUCUUUAUAAAAUUUCCAUAUUCAAUAUUUCUGUAAACAAAAUCAAUGAUGCUUGAUUAUGGUUGCCAAGAUAUUUGAAGGUUUUAUGAUGAUUUUCAUGAAAUGGGACGUUUCUGCCUAUUGUGGGAAUUGCAGUAUAGACCUACCAUCUCUGAGAAAAGUUGGACCACCUACCCCUGGUGGAAUGGUAUUGGCUUCGAAAGUCAAUAUUGGCUGGAAGUAUUUAAGCAGAAGUUACCCAAGAUACUACAGUGGAGCCAUGACAGAUGCAUUGGCUUCCUUAAAGCUUUGGGAGGAUCAUACCACGUGGAAGCAAUUUAUAGAUUCUAAAGAACUUUGCAAUUGGACAUCAUAUUCUGGAUUUACUGAAGUGAUCUCAGACCAGUACUACUCCACUGUGUAUAAAUCCUACACCUUGAAAUAACUUCAAGAAUCAACAAAUGGAAUCAUAUAAAAUUGAAAAACUUCUUUACAGC
This 822-nucleotide long non-coding RNA is filed under the name Heterocephalus glaber (naked mole-rat). RNAcentral describes it as "lncRNA (ENSHGLG00000032430.1)". The record is from RNAcentral. Lineage: Eukaryota; Metazoa; Chordata; Mammalia; Rodentia; Bathyergidae.